CGGAAGGAUCAUUACUGUGAUUUAGUACUACACUGCGUGAGCGGAACGAAAACAAAAACACCUAAAAUGUGGAAUAUAGCAUAUAGUCGACAAGAGAAAUCUACGAAAAACAAACAAAACUUUCAACAACGGAUCUCUUGGUUCUCGCAUCGAUGAAGAGCGCAGCGAAAUGCGAUACCUAGUGUGAAUUGCAGCCAUCGUGAAUCAUCGAGUUCUUGAACGCACAUUGCGCCCCUCGGCAUUCCGGGGGGCAUGCCUGUUUGAGCGUCGUUUCCAUCUUGCGCGUGCGCAGAGUUGGGGGAGCGGAGCGGACGACGUGUAAAGAGCGUCGGAGCUGCGACUCGCCUGAAAGGGAGCGAAGCUGGCCGAGCGAACUAGACUUUUUUUCAGGGACGCUUGGCGGCCGAGAGCGAGUGUUGCGAGACAACAAAAAGCUCGACCUCAAAUCAGGUAGGAAUACCCGCUGAACUUAAGCAU
Molecule: ribosomal RNA, 477 nt
Filed under: Pichia kudriavzevii
Lineage: Eukaryota; Fungi; Ascomycota; Pichiomycetes; Pichiales; Pichiaceae
Description: eukaryotic LSU rRNA
Rfam family: 5.8S ribosomal RNA (bases 118-270)
Source: RNAcentral